GGAGAGGUGGCAGAGUUAGGCUGAUCGCGCCUCCCUGCUAAGGAGGUUUACGGUGUGAACCGUAACGUGGGUUCGAAUCCCACCCUCUCCGCCA
This 94-nucleotide transfer RNA is filed under the name Vicinamibacterales bacterium. RNAcentral's name for it is "tRNA-Ser". It matches the Rfam family "tRNA". From Rfam's summary of the family: Transfer RNA (tRNA) molecules are approximately 80 nucleotides in length. The record is from RNAcentral. Lineage: Bacteria; Pseudomonadati; Acidobacteriota; Vicinamibacteria; Vicinamibacterales.